AGUGAACGCUGGCGGUAGGCCUAACACAUGCAAGUCGAACGGCAGCACAGUAAGAGCUUGCUCUUACGGGUGGCGAGUGGCGGGCGGGUGAGGAAUACAUCGGAAUCUACUUUUUCGUGGGGGAUAACGUAGGGAAACUUACGCUAAUACCGCAUACGACCUACGGGUGAAAGCAGGGGAUCUUCGGACCUUGCGCGAUUGAAUGAGCCGAUGUCGGAUUAGCUAGUUGGCGGGGUAAAGGCCCACCAAGGCGACGAUCCGUAGCUGGUCUGAGAGGAUGAUCAGCCACACUGGAACUGAGACACGGUCCAGACUCCUACGGGAGGCAGCAGUGGGGAAUAUUGGACAAUGGGCGCAAGCCUGAUCCAGCCAUACCGCGUGGGUGAAGAAGGCCUUCGGGUUGUAAAGCCCUUUUGUUGGGAAAGAAGAGCAGCAGGUUAAUACCCCGCUGUUCUGACGGUACCCAAAGAAUAAGCACCGGCUAACUUCGUG
RNAcentral lists this ribosomal RNA (492 nucleotides) under uncultured bacterium. Its description in RNAcentral is "partial 16S ribosomal RNA". It matches the Rfam family "Bacterial small subunit ribosomal RNA", at positions 29 to 507 of the family's 1533-position model. The record is from RNAcentral.